This is a long non-coding RNA of Passer montanus (Eurasian tree sparrow), 402 nucleotides long. RefSeq lists it as uncharacterized. The transcript has 3 exons. The record is from RefSeq and is a predicted model, not a curated record. NCBI's taxonomy places the organism in Eukaryota, Metazoa, Chordata, Aves, Passeriformes, Passeridae.
GCAGAGUUGUUGCCCACAGCAGCUCAAGGGCCACUUCAGAACAGUGCUGGGAGGUCCACAAGUGCUCAGCCUUGCUCUUGGGGCUGCAGGGAAAUGAAUAAAGGAAGACAUGAGAGCAAGAAGUAAAGCUGCUGCUCUGCUCCUGCCCACCCACGUGUGGCUCUGAGAAGGUUGUAGUGACCCCCUGGAAGUGUUGGAGCCCUUGCUCUGAGGGAGCAGGAACAAGGAGGUGCUUGAGGGACCCUUUUUCUGCUUGGAUGCUACAGGAGAAGAGGAUGAGCUGGUACAGACCUGGCUUUUCCUGGCAGCCUGCUCAGAAGGUGCAGCUGUGGAAGAGGAAACAUCUCCUUGUCUGGUACAAGGUCUUAUGCUAUGGGGACACAGACUUCUCUUCUGUGUCUU